This 856-nucleotide long non-coding RNA is filed under the name Chinchilla lanigera (long-tailed chinchilla). RNAcentral describes it as "lncRNA (ENSCLAG00000024462.1)". The record is from RNAcentral. Lineage: Eukaryota; Metazoa; Chordata; Mammalia; Rodentia; Chinchillidae.
CCCAUUGUAUGCAGCUGAUGGCAAGGAGGCGACCGGGGGUGGCAGGGCUCCUGGCCCUAGCCCCUGUGCCCAAAUUCACGCGCUCACGUCUCCUGGGCAGGGAAAAGUCAGAGGCAGGGAGCGGAGAGCCCAGGCAGCAGGCAGAUUGCUGGAGAUGCAGAGGGAAAGGCGCGGAGAGGCGGAGAGGGUGGGCGAGAAAGCGCGAGCGCGCGGGGCGCCGGGGCCUCGACUGGACGCCGGGUGGGUGCGCCGGCCCAGCCGCCUCCGACCCCGGACCGCGCGUCGUGGGCACCAGAAGCGACACUCGCCACAGUCCGGCCCCAGCAGACAGGGAUGGAGGAGCGGAAAUACCGUCACCUCUCGGUACUGAUUGCCGGGAAUUGGUGCUCCAGAUGUUGCACUGGAAGCGCUGCGAGUGUGAGCAGGUGGCAGUAGCUCGAAUCACAGCUUGUAGCAGAUGUUCUCAAUAUUUCUGUUGAAAUUUCCUGAUCUCUACCUGCAAGAGGAGCCUCAGAGCUUCAUCUUGGUGGUACCUGUCAUCAUUGGUAUGAGGCUAUACUUUCCCACCCAUGCUUCCUGUUCUAGCGCAGCAGCUGGGUUAGAAUUGAGCUGUUUGUUUCACAAAUAACUCGGGAGAACUGAAGGAAAAAUGUCUCAGUAAUAUCAAAACUGUGACUUAUUUGAGCUUGCGUAUUAUGCCUUGUUAUUUUUAUACCUCUUUGUGGAAACUUCAGAGAAGUCCUUGCUUAUUAUAAGGUCUUAGCAUUGUGGUUCUGCUUGAAUUUUAUUGUCAUCCACUGCUUCUAUUGAUUUUUAAGUUUUGGUCUAAUUUCUUAUUUUCUUAAAUAAUAAAGAG